This 83-nucleotide transfer RNA is filed under the name Prevotella sp. RNAcentral's name for it is "tRNA-Leu". It matches the Rfam family "tRNA". From Rfam's summary of the family: Transfer RNA (tRNA) molecules are approximately 80 nucleotides in length. Their secondary structure includes four short double-helical elements and three loops (D, anti-codon, and T loops). Further hydrogen bonds mediate the characteristic L-shaped molecular structure. tRNAs have two regions of fundamental functional importance: the anti-codon, which is responsible for specific mRNA codon recognition, and the 3' end, to which the tRNAs corresponding amino acid is attached (by aminoacyl-tRNA synthetases). tRNAs cope with the degeneracy of the genetic code in two manners: having more than one tRNA (with a specific anti-codon) for a particular amino acid; and 'wobble' base-pairing, i.e. permitting non-standard base-pairing at the 3rd anti-codon position. The record is from RNAcentral. Lineage: Bacteria; Pseudomonadati; Bacteroidota; Bacteroidia; Bacteroidales; Prevotellaceae.
CGCCACAUGUCGAAACAGCAGACGAAGUUGGCUCAAACCCAACGGCCUUGUGCGUGGGGGUGCGAAUCCCUCUGUGGCGACCA